Molecule: non-coding RNA, 160 nt
Filed under: Candidatus Omnitrophota bacterium
Lineage: Bacteria; Pseudomonadati; Candidatus Omnitrophota
Description: 6S RNA
Rfam family: 6S / SsrS RNA
About the family: E. coli 6S RNA was the first non coding RNA to be sequenced, but its function was unknown until recently.
Source: RNAcentral
AAAUCCCUGCAGUGUUCGUUGGCUAUUGCCUGAGAAUUGUUGAACCAACAGUAUAAUUAUGGGAGCCUGACUUCCAGGAUACCUUGGUAUCCGGACAAGGCACCCACCUGAAACCGAAAGGUUCAGCGUUUCAGGUAUCAACGGCACAGGCGGGGAUAUA